AGUGAACGCUGGCGGUAGGCCUAACACAUGCAAGUCGAACGGCAGCACAGUAAGAGCUUGCUCUUACGGGUGGCGAGUGGCGGACGGGUGAGGAAUACAUCGGAAUCUACUUUUUCGUGGGGGAUAACGUAGGGAAACUUACGCUAAUACCGCAUACGACCUACGGGUGAAAGCAGGGGAUCUUCGGACCUUGCGCGAUUGAAUGAGCCGAUGUCGGAUUAGCUAGUUGGCGGGGUAAAGGCCCACCAAGGCGACGAUCCGUAGCUGGUCUGAGAGGAUGAUAAGCAACACUGGAACUGAGACACGGUCCAGACUCCUACGGGAGGAAGCAGUGGGGAAUAUUGGACAAUGGGCGCAAGCCUGAUCCAGCCAUACCGCGUGGGUGAAGAAGGCCUUCGGGUUGUAAAGCCCUUUUGUUGGGAAAGAAAAGCAGCAGGUUAAUACCCCGCUGUUCUGACGGUACCCAAAGAAUAAGCACCGGCUAACUUCGUG
This 492-nucleotide ribosomal RNA is filed under the name uncultured bacterium. RNAcentral's name for it is "partial 16S ribosomal RNA". It matches the Rfam family "Bacterial small subunit ribosomal RNA", at positions 29 to 507 of the family's 1533-position model. The record is from RNAcentral.